RNAcentral lists this ribosomal RNA (391 nucleotides) under uncultured bacterium. Its description in RNAcentral is "bacterial SSU rRNA". It matches the Rfam family "Bacterial small subunit ribosomal RNA", at positions 29 to 420 of the family's 1533-position model. The record is from RNAcentral.
ACGAACGCUGGCGGCGUGCUUAACACAUGCAAGUCGAGCGGUAAGGCCCUUUCGGGGGUACACGAGCGGCGAACGGGUGAGUAACACGUGGGUGACCUGCCCUCAGCUCUGGGAUAAGCCUGGGAAACCGGGUCUAAUACUGGAUAUGACUCCAUGACGCAUGUUGUGGGGUGGAAAGCCUUGUGCGGCUGAGGAUGGGCCCGCGGCCUAUCAGCUUGUUGGUGGGGUGAUGGCCUACCAAGGCGACGACGGGUAGCCGGCCUGAGAGGGCGACCGGCCACACUGGGACUGAGACACGGCCCAGACUCCUACGGGAGGCAGCAGGUGGGGAAUCUUGCGCAAUGGGCGAAAGCCUGACGCAGCGACGCCGCGUGAGGGAUGACGGCCGUGG